Molecule: long non-coding RNA, 140 nt
Organism: Dermacentor silvarum
Lineage: Eukaryota; Metazoa; Arthropoda; Arachnida; Ixodida; Ixodidae
Exons: 3
Source: RefSeq, a predicted model, not a curated record
GAACACGAAGUGAAAGCAGUACUGGAAUACCAAAACUAUACAAAUAACUGUUCCGUUGUUAGGUAUGACGAAUGGCAAUACGGCUCUGAGACACAAAAGAACUACUUCGAGAAGAUGUGUGGAGAACGCAAAUUGAUGGG